GACGAACGCUGGCGGCGUGCUUAACACAUGCAAGUCGAACGGAAAGGCCCUGCUUUUGUGGGGUGCUCGAGUGGCAAACGGGUGAGUAACACGUGAGUAACCUGCCCUUGACUUUGGGAUAACUUCAGGAAACUGGGGCUAACACCGGAUAGGAGCUCCUGCUGCAUGGUGGGGGUUGGAAAGUUUCGGCGGUUGGGGAUGGACUCGCGGCUUAUCAGCUUGUUGGUGGGGUAGUGGCUUACCAAGGCUUUGACGGGUAGCCGGCCUGAGAGGGUGACCGGCCACAUUGGGACUGAGAUACGGCCCAGACUCCUACGGGAGGCAGCAGUGGGGAAUAUUGCACAAUGGGCGGAAGCCUGAUGCAGCAACGCCGCGUGCGGGAUGACGGCCUUCGGGUUGUAAACCGCUUUCGCCUGUGACGAAGCGUGAGUGACGGUAAUGGGUAAAGAAGCACCGGCUAACUACGUG
RNAcentral lists this ribosomal RNA (468 nucleotides) under uncultured bacterium. Its description in RNAcentral is "partial 16S ribosomal RNA". It matches the Rfam family "Bacterial small subunit ribosomal RNA", at positions 28 to 507 of the family's 1533-position model. The record is from RNAcentral.